GACAGAGGUGCCGAGCGUUAGGCGGAAUCACUGGGCUUAAAGCGUGUGUAGGCGGACGCCUAAGUACCUUGUGAAAUCCCACGGCUCAACCGUGGAACGGCUGGGUAGACUGGGCGUCUUGAGCCACCUAAGGGCAGACGGAACAAGCGGUGGAGCGGUGAAAUGCGUAGAUAUCGUAAGGAAGACCAGUGGCGAAGGCGGGUCUCUGGACAGUUCCUGACGCUGAGGCACGAAGGUCAGGGGAGCAAACGGG
Molecule: ribosomal RNA, 253 nt
Filed under: uncultured bacterium
Lineage: Bacteria
Description: partial 16S ribosomal RNA
Rfam family: Bacterial small subunit ribosomal RNA
Source: RNAcentral